This 599-nucleotide long non-coding RNA is filed under the name Gallus gallus (chicken). Its description in RNAcentral is "lncRNA (ENSGALG00010019917.1)". Lineage: Eukaryota; Metazoa; Chordata; Aves; Galliformes; Phasianidae. The record is from RNAcentral.
GGGGGAGGGGAGGAGGGAAUACAUUCCAUUAUUCAAUUUCUGUUCUAACUAAACAUUCCUAGUUGUACAGCUCUCAAGGUAGGGUCUUGCUCACUGCUUACAAAUAGGACAGUUUUAUCAACAGCUGGAGAUACCUCUUAUCAAAUAGCUGAAUGCUUAUGAGGCAGUACAGUGUAGGCUAGUUGUGGUUUGCACUUAUUAAAGCAUAAUUAUAGCUCAGGCCUAUUACAAUUUAAAUGCUACAAACACAUUACUGGUUCUAUCAUGCAUCAAAAAUGUUUUGAUCACUAGGCUUGAGGGAACAUGUAAACUCCUCUUUGACAAACUUACACGAUCUGUGCUUUUCAGCUUUUGCUCUCCAAUUUGUAUCUGCUCCAGAUCUGUUUGGAGACUUAAGUUAGUUCACUUCAGAACUAAACUUCAAGAGCCAUGGAGGCCAGCGGGAGGUUUUCCAUUGACUUCAGUGAACUGUGGAUCAGGUCUGAGGAGAUAAAUCCAGCUCUUUCAGAAGCCGGCUCUAUUCUCUUCAUAGAAUGAAGCUGUGAAAGGACCAUAGGAAGAGACAAAACUGGAAAAUUAUAUAUAAUGUCUUGUCCACU